Molecule: long non-coding RNA, 542 nt
Organism: Microplitis mediator
Lineage: Eukaryota; Metazoa; Arthropoda; Insecta; Hymenoptera; Braconidae
Exons: 3
Source: RefSeq, a predicted model, not a curated record
GUUUCAAUAAAGAGGGGUAGAAAAAGAGCAUCCAGUAACUAUAGAUUCUAUACCUUCUGCUUUCUAUAGAAGAAUGUUUUGUGAAUCUCUCAAAAUACAUAGCAUAUUUAUGUUGGAAAAGAUAUCAUUUAUUACAAGUUUUCUUUUUUUAUUUAUUGUUCGGUGUUAAGCAUAAUGAACAGAACUCUAAAUUGUGAAUUAAGUCAUGUAUAUGUUGACAAGUCAUCAAUUUACUGAAAAGUUGAUGAGAAAUUUAAAAAGUAACGGAUGCUGCCUAUUUCCAUCUUGGUACAAUAAAUAUUUUUUCCAGUGGCUGGGAAUCAUGUACGACCAAGAGCAACUAGACAAGUUGUUCAUCGAGAGCGUCGUCAUCAUCGUCCUGCAUUACCUCAAUCUUUUGAAGCUUUAAACGGUAUGUUAGAAGGAUAUGCGCCCAUGGCUAAUAGUUAUUUGACCUAAGUAAACGCUGGUGAAGCUGGUGAAGCCAUAGCUUACAUAUAUAGUAGUGAUUACAUGGUGCAAAACUUGGGCGCAGCAGAAGA